Molecule: ribosomal RNA, 437 nt
Filed under: uncultured Oscillospiraceae bacterium
Lineage: Bacteria; Bacillati; Bacillota; Clostridia; Eubacteriales; Oscillospiraceae
Description: partial 16S ribosomal RNA
Rfam family: Bacterial small subunit ribosomal RNA
Source: RNAcentral
ACGGGAGGCAGCAGUGGGGAAUAUUGGGCAAUGGGCGAAAGCCUGACCCAGCCACGCCGCGUGAAGGAAGAAGGUCUUCUGAUUGUAAACUUCUUUUAUGAGGGACGAAGGAAGUGACGGUACCUCAUGAAUAAGCCACGGCUAACUACGUGCCAGCAGCCGCGGUAAUCCGUAGGUGGCAAGCGUUAUCCGGAUUUACUGGGUGUAAAGGGCGCGUAGGCGGGGAUGCAAGUCAGAUGUGAAAUCCAUGGGCUCAACUCAUGAACUGCAUUUGAAACUGUAUCUCUUGAGUGCUGGAGUGGUAGAUGGAAUUCCUUGUGUAGCGGUGAAAUGCGUAGAUAUAAGGAAGAACACCAGUGGCGAAGGCGAUCUACUGGACAGUAACUGACGCUGAGGCGCGAAAGCGUGGGGAGCAAACAGGAUUAGAUACCCUGGUA